UUUGUGGAGCGCUGCAGAGGGUGCGCGCGGGCCGCGGCUGCCGAACAAAGGAGCAGGGGCGCCGCCGCGGGGACCCGCCACCCAACUCCCGGGGCCGCGCCGCGGCCUCCCGUCCACCGCCACCAUGACCGCCAACGGCACAGCCGAGGCGGUGCAGAUCCAGUUCGGCCUCAUCAACUGCGGCAACAAGUACCUGACGGCCGAGGCGUUCGGGUUCAAGGUGAACGCGUCUGCCAGCAGCCUGAAGAAGAAGCAGAUCUGGACGCUGGAGCAGCCCCCCGACGAGGCGGGCAGCGCGGCCGUGUGCCUGCGCAGCCACCUGGGCCGCUACCUGGCGGCGGACAAGGACGGCAACGUGACCUGCGAGCGCGAGGUACCCGGUCCCGACUGCCGCUUCCUCAUCGUGGCGCACGACGACGGCCGCUGGUCGCUGCAGUCCGAGGCGCACCGGCGCUACUUCGGCGGCACCGAGGACCGCCUGUCGUGCUUCGCGCAGACGGUGUCCCCCGCCGAGAAGUGGAGCGUGCACAUCGCUAUGCACCCGCAGGUUAACAUCUACAGCGUCACCCGUAAGCGCUACGCGCACCUGAGCGCGCGGCCGGCGGACGAGAUCGCCGUGGACCGCGACGUGCCCUGGGGCGUCGACUCGCUCAUCACCCUCGCCUUCCAGGACCAGCGCUACAGCGUGCAGACCGCCGACCACCGCUUCCUGCGCCACGACGGGCGCUUGGUGGCGCGCCCCGAGCCGGCUACUGGCUACACGCUGGAGUUCCGCUCCGGCAAAGUGGCCUUCCGCGACUGCGAGGGCCGUUACCUGGCGCCGUCGGGGCCCAGCGGCACGCUCAAGGCGGGCAAGGCCACCAAGGUGGGCAAGGACGAGCUCUUUGCCCUGGAGCAGAGCUGCGCCCAGGUGGUGCUGCAGGCGGCCAACGAGAGGAACGUGUCCACGCGCCAGGGUGAGUGGGGACGCUGCCCCCGCCUCUCCCGGUCCGUGCACAAAGCGCACCCCACCCGCGCCCCUCCAACCUCCCGCCCUUUCUCGCCCGCGGCGCCGCUGCGGUCCGGAGCACUGCCCAGUGCGCCCCCGCUAGGCACGCGGGCUACCCCGCCCGGAAGGGGCGAGGGGCCUGAGGCUCGGGGGUCCGAGGCAAGGGUCGCCACUCGCAAGGGCGCGCCUCCACCCCCACCGGCAACCUUUCGCGGGCGAGAUGGGGGAGAGAAGCCCCCUGCGCCGCCCCCGGGCCCAGAGCUCAGGUCCACAGGUUCCCCAGGAGGCGGUCUCUCUCCUCGCGCCGCGGCCCGGGAACGGCGUGGCGCGGAUGGCGGCCCUCCCGGCACCCCGCCCUUCGCCCGCCGCGCGCGUCUCCGGGCCGGUGCGCUGAGCUCCGCUCUGCUGGUGACCGAGGGCGGCUUCAGCGCGAGCCAGGAGACCCCAGGCCAGCUCGCUCGGGAUGCCCCUACCCUCGUGUGA
Piliocolobus tephrosceles (Ugandan red Colobus) is the source of this 1471-nucleotide RNA transcript. It is a transcript of the gene named fascin pseudogene, with no coding region annotated. The transcript is spliced from 3 exons. Lineage: Eukaryota; Metazoa; Chordata; Mammalia; Primates; Cercopithecidae. The record is from RefSeq and is a predicted model, not a curated record.